RNAcentral lists this ribosomal RNA (253 nucleotides) under uncultured bacterium. Its description in RNAcentral is "partial 16S ribosomal RNA". It matches the Rfam family "Bacterial small subunit ribosomal RNA", at positions 524 to 776 of the family's 1533-position model. The record is from RNAcentral.
UACGGGGGGAGCAAGCGUUGUUCGGAUUUACUGGGCGUAAAGGGCGCGUAGGCGGCAAUUCAAGUCAUCUGUGAAAUCUCCGGGCUUAACUCGGAACGGUCAGAUGAUACUGCUUUGCUAGAGUGCGGAAGGGGCAAUCGGAAUUCUCGGUGUAGCGGUGAAAUGCGUAGAUAUCGAGAGGAACACCAGAGGUGAAGACGGGUUGCUGGGCCGACACUGACGCUGAGGAGCGAAAGCGUGGGGAGCGAACAGG